Molecule: non-coding RNA, 170 nt
Filed under: Clostridia bacterium
Lineage: Bacteria; Bacillati; Bacillota; Clostridia
Description: 6S RNA
Rfam family: 6S / SsrS RNA
About the family: E. coli 6S RNA was the first non coding RNA to be sequenced, but its function was unknown until recently. It consists of 184 nucleotides that fold into an extended hairpin structure with a large single-stranded internal bulge.
Source: RNAcentral
CAUUUCCUGCUAGAGAUGGUGCUGUGAUAUUUAAACCGACACUAUUACCUUGGGAAUUCGGAGUUUUGCUAUGUAUGUGCAGCCGGUUAAAUCGGAAUACAGAAAUAGCAAACAGGAUACCCACCUGCUGCGCAGGGUUUAAACAAGCAGUAACCACUAGUGGGAUUUUU